RNAcentral lists this ribosomal RNA (130 nucleotides) under Petromyzon marinus (sea lamprey). The record is from RNAcentral. Lineage: Eukaryota; Metazoa; Chordata; Hyperoartia; Petromyzontiformes; Petromyzontidae.
GCCGAUAACAAAAUCACCCAGAGUGCUCUCGAUCUCAUCAGAUUAAGGAAGCUAAGCAGUUUGGAGCCUGGAAAGUGCUUGGAAGGGUGUUCACCAUGCACAAAAGAUGUAUAAAAAGGCAUUGUGGGCA